CGAGGGGUAACAGGGAGCUUGCUCUGCUGACGACCGGCGCACGGGUGCGUAACGCGUAUACAAUCUGCCUUACACUAAGGGAUAGCCCAGAGAAAUUUGGAUUAAUACCUUAUAGUUUAUUAGAAUGGCAUCAUUUUAAUAAUAAAGAUUACGGUGUAAGAUGAGUAUGCGUCCCAUUAGUUUGUUGGUAAGGUAACGGCUUACCAAGACUACGAUGGGUAGGGGCCCUGAGAGGGGGAUCCCCCACACUGGUACUGAGACACGGACCAGACUCCUACGGGAGGCAGCAGUGAGGAAUAUUGGCAAUGGGCGAGAGCCUGAUCCAGCCAUGCCGCGUGCAGGAAGACGGUCCUAUGGAUUGUAAACUGCUUUUAUACAGGAAGAAUAAGGACUACGUGUAGUCUGGUGACGGUACUGUAAGAAUAAGGACCGGCUAACUCCGUGCCAGCCGCCGCGGWAAUACGGUCAUAGCU
This 473-nucleotide ribosomal RNA is filed under the name Cytophaga sp. I-132-10. RNAcentral's name for it is "bacterial SSU rRNA". It matches the Rfam family "Bacterial small subunit ribosomal RNA", at positions 63 to 539 of the family's 1533-position model. Lineage: Bacteria; Pseudomonadati; Bacteroidota; Cytophagia; Cytophagales; Cytophagaceae. The record is from RNAcentral.